Molecule: ribosomal RNA, 431 nt
Filed under: uncultured bacterium
Lineage: Bacteria
Description: partial 16S ribosomal RNA
Rfam family: Bacterial small subunit ribosomal RNA
Source: RNAcentral
AACGAACGCUGGCGGCAGGCUUAACACAUGCAAGUCGAACGCCCCGCAAGGGGAGUGGCAGACGGGUGAGUAACGCGUGGGAACAUACCCUUUUCUACGGAAUAGCUCUGGGAAACUGGAAUUAAUACCGUAUACGCCCUACGGGGGAAAGAUUUAUCGGGGAAGGAUUCGCCCGCGUUGGAUUAGCUAGUUGGUGGGGUAAAGGCCUACCAAGGCGACGAUCCAUAGCUGGUCUGAGAGGAUGAUCAGCCACAUUGGGACUGAGACACGGCCCAAACUCCUACGGGAGGCAGCAGUGGGGAAUAUUGGACAAUGGGCGCAAGCCUGAUCCAGCCAUGCCGCGUGAGUGAUGAAGGCCUUAGGGUUGUAAAGCUCUUUCACCGAUGAAGAUAAUGACGGUAGUCGGAGAAGAAGCCCCGGCUAACUUCGUG